Melanotaenia boesemani (Boeseman's rainbowfish) is the source of this 345-nucleotide long non-coding RNA. RefSeq lists it as uncharacterized. Lineage: Eukaryota; Metazoa; Chordata; Actinopteri; Atheriniformes; Melanotaeniidae. The record is from RefSeq and is a predicted model, not a curated record. The transcript has 3 exons.
AGCUCAUCAGGCUGCUAUUUAAGGACAAGCAGGAGCUCCAGUCUUCUCCGGAUUAUCUCUCAUGAUUGUGUGUUUUUGUUGGUUGCUACAAGAAUCAGUGGGAGUUCACUGAAUAGAACCAGAAGAUCUGGACUUCCAGCCCCGACCAAGCCUCGCCUCAUUCAUCAGCCUGCCUGCUCGCCCUGCCUGCCGCCUAACUCAGCUAACACAGCUGGAGCUCAUCUCCGGACUUGUUCCUCCACCAUCAGAUUAUUCUCUGGAUUCCAGAAGAGUGCCCUGAAACCGGGAUCAAGCCUCUCGCAGAUGAUAUAUAAUUACAAAACUGUAAGUAAAGAUUUGUUAAUU